CUCUUGCAAGGCUAGGGUUUUAAUCUUCAUUAAUUAGCAUGUUAUAAUCAUUUAAGUAUUUGCACAGAUUCUGCACUUAGAGGGUUUGGAUUUACUUUGAUAUUAAGUCCUGAAACUUGCUGAAAAUGUGUUUGUAAAGCUGAAACUGUAUCUUAUUUGCUUAAAAUAUGGCCUUGAGUGUUGGAAUAUGAGUUCAUAUUGCUGAAACCAAAGGUUGCAAAGCAGAAUGAUUUCUUGCAGAAGAGUGCAUUUGUCCAUGACAUUUUGCAGAAGACAUAUGAAGAAACCUGUGGGAGCAAAUUAUUAAGAACGCCACGAUCAAGAUUUUGAGAACUAUGUAAUUCUUGAAGGUUGUCCAAUAUCAGCUGGCACAUCAAUUACAUUGAAUGAUGAUCUAUUGGAAAGUGCACAUCGUUAUGUGUUAUUCAAUACAGCAAUUGUGGAACCAUAUUUAGAGAUAUAUCAAGAGGAGCUAAGGCAAUCCAAUCCAAGCCUUCGUCUACAAAAAAAUAAAAGUCUACUUUUGAGGAGACACGCCAAAAACUUUUCAAAGUGGUUGAAAGAAUAGGUUUAUGUUUAUUUUUAUUGAGGUGUGUGAAGCAAAAAAUAUAAAGAAAGGUUAUAAUCUCGGCAAAGAAGUAAGCUUCAAGUAAAGAAAAUCUGUGGAAUGAGAUAGUUGGCCUACCCUCUAUACCUUGGGUUUCUAUAUGGGCGGCGAAGACAAUCAAGUCGAACUAGGUCCAUACCCUGUUAAUAUCAAGUGCUAUCGUUUAGGGAACAAAAUUGGGUCUGCAUUCCCCAUCGUAGAAAGCUGAUGCAAACUGAACUGAAACUCAUAGUUUUUGUUUACCUAAGGUGUCUCAUGGCUCCAAAAGAGACUAAUAUAUAUGUUGCAGGCUGAGAAUGUAUGACAACAGUUUGUGAUUCCAGUCAGUCUAUCAAGAUUUGUACUUACCCAGCUUUCUUAUAAAAUGCAGAAACUUUCUGUUAAAGUUAUGUUUAAAGAUUGUACUUAACUUUUGGCAUUAGAUUGUGGCUUGUUUGUUAGA
Rhododendron vialii is the source of this 1049-nucleotide long non-coding RNA. RefSeq lists it as uncharacterized. The record is from RefSeq and is a predicted model, not a curated record. The transcript is spliced from 2 exons. Lineage: Eukaryota; Viridiplantae; Streptophyta; Magnoliopsida; Ericales; Ericaceae.